Molecule: RNA transcript, 6272 nt
Organism: Pan troglodytes (chimpanzee)
Lineage: Eukaryota; Metazoa; Chordata; Mammalia; Primates; Hominidae
Gene: PTCD1
Gene name: pentatricopeptide repeat domain 1
Exons: 8
Source: RefSeq, a predicted model, not a curated record
CCGGGAGCGCCCGGAGCCCGCGCCGGCCCUUGCGCCUGUCCAGGCACUGCCAAUCGAGACUCCGCCGUUCCGCUAGUCCCAGCUAGCCGCCAGCCGAACGCCGGCCUCGCCAGAAACCUGAAACCAGCCGCGUGAGUCGGCGACGCGGAUUGCGCCUGCGCGCUUGGGGAGAGGGUGACCCGAGGAAGAGACUGGUUCGCCGCGGGGACCGGGCAGGGCUCCUCGUCGGAGUGCACUGCGCCGGACACUUCAAGCCCUGGAGGGACAGGAAAGCCAGAAAUGGACUUCGUGAGACUCGCUCGACUGUUCGCCAGGGCCCGCCCCAUGGGACUGUUCAUCCUGCAACACCUGGACCCCUGUAGAGCCAGGUGGGCAGGAGGCAGGGAGGGGCUGAUGCGGCCACUGUGGGCGCCCUUCAGCAGCUCCUCCUCUCAGCUGCCCCUCGGCCAGGAGCGCCAGGAAAACACGGGCAGCCUGGGCUCUGACCCGAGCCACUCCAACUCCACGGCCACGCAGGAAGAAGACGAGGAGCAGGAGGAGAGUUUUGGGACCCUCUCUAACAAAUACUCCUCCCGGAAACUAUUCCGCAAAUCCGCAGCCCAGUUCCAUAACCUGCGGUUUGGGGAACGGAGAGAUGAGCAAAUGGAACCGGAGCCCAAAUUAUGGCGAGGCCGGAGAAACACCCCGUACUGGUACUUCUUGCAGUGCAAACGCCUGAUCAAGGAAGGGAAGCUGGUUGAAGCCCUGGACCUGUUUGAGAGGCAGAUGCUGAAGGAGGAGCGAUUGCAGCCCAUGGAGAGCAACUACACGGUGCUGAUUGGGGGCUGCGGGCGGGUUGGCUACCUGAAGAAGGCCUUCAACCUCUACAACCAGAUGAAAAAGCGGGACCUGGAGCCCUCGGACGCCACCUACACGGCCCUGUUCAACGUCUGUGCCGAGUCCCCCUGGAAGGACUCAGCUCUACAGAGUGCCCUGAAGCUCCGGCAGCAGCUGCAGGCCAAAAACUUCGAGCUCAACUUGAAAACAUACCACGCACUGCUGAAGAUGGCUGCCAAGUGCGCAGACCUUAGGAUGUGCCUCGAUGUGUUCAAGGAAAUCAUCCACAAAGGGCACGUGGUCACAGAGGAGACCUUCAGUUUCCUGCUCAUGGGCUGCAUCCAAGACAAGAAGACAGGCUUCCGGUACGCCCUCCAGGUGUGGCGGCUGAUGCUGAGUCUGGGGCUACAGCCGAGCCGGGACAGCUACAACCUGCUGUUGGUGGCAGCUCGGGACUGUGGCCUAGGGGACCCCCAGGUGGCCUCAGAGCUGCUUCUGAAGCCCAGGGAGGAGGCGACUGUGCUUCAGCUCCCAGUGAGCAGGCAGCGGCCAAGGAGGACAGCCCAGGCCAAGGCAGGCAACCUCAUGUCAGCCAUGCUGCAUGUGGAGGCCCUGGAGAGGCAGCUGUUUCUGGAACCUUCUCAGGCACUUGGGCCUCCAGAGCCUCUGGAAGCCAGAGUGCCCGGCAAGGCCCAACCAGAGGUGGAUACUAAGGCAGAGCCCAGCCACACAGCAGCCCUCACCCCAGUGGCCCUGAAGCCACCUCCCGUGGAGCUGGAAGUCAACCUCCUGACCCCCGGGGCCGUUCCCCCUACAGUGGUCUCCUUUGGAACAGUGACCACCCCAGCUGACCGGCUGGCCUUGAUAGGGGGCCUGGAGGGCUUCCUGAGCAAGAUGGCAGAGCACAGGCAGCAGCCCGACAUCAGGACCCUCACGCUACUGGCCGAGGUGGUGGAGUCCGGGAGUCCUGCAGAGUCCUUGCUGCUGGCCCUCCUGGAUGAGCACCAGGUAGAGGCCGACCUGACAUUCUUUAACACGCUGGUGAGAAAGAAGAGCAAGCUGGGAGACCUGGAGGGGGCCAAGGCGCUGUUGCCGGUCCUGGCAAAGAGGGGCCUCGUCCCCAACCUGCAGACAUUCUGCAACCUGGCCAUCGGGUGCCACAGGCCGAAGGACGGUCUACAGCUUCUCACAGACAUGAAGAAGUCCCAGGUGACCCCCAACACUCACAUCUACAGUGCCCUCAUCAACGCGGCCAUCAGGAAGCUGAACUACACCUAUCUCAUCAACAUCUUGAAGGACAUGAAGCAGAACAGGGUCCCGGUGAACGAAGUGGUCAUCCGCCAGCUGGAGUUUGCAGCCCAGUACCCUCCCACCUUUGACCGGGUGUGUGCCCCAAGCUCAAAAGCUCAUCAGCUCCUUCACCAUUGCUACCCCCUCCCCCCACCACCCAACCCCGGUUCUGGCCCUUGGGAUUGUGUUGCCAUGCUUGAAACUGUCCAGCAGCUUCCCUUAGGAGCAGUACCCAAGUCUGUAGACCACAGCCUGCGAGUCCCUGUCCGCGUGGCUCAUCUCAUGUCUCAGCCUUGCGUUUGCUUUCUCUGUCUGUCCCAGUGGCCUUCUGUCAGUUCGCAGAGGCCACCAACCUCUUGCCUGCUUCGGGAUUGGUGUUCCCGCUGCCUCAGGUGGCACCCACUUUUCCUGGAGGUCUCUGCUUAAGUGGCCCUCAGACAUGCCCAGCUGGCUGCCGCUCUGACCUGGGAUGAAAGUCUCCCCUCCCCCUUCCCGCUCUGUUCCUUUAUGCCGUGUCCUACAGUCUUGGAUCAUGUGCUCAUGGGCAGCCCUGGCCUUCCCUGUAUCAGGCUUCUGGAGGCAGAGGCUGUCUGCCGUGCUCAUCUGGGUCCCCAGCACCUGCACGUUGCUGGGUACUCCAAACAGGUUGUCGCUUGCUCAGGGACUGGGCAGGCAGUGAAGUGGCGUCAUUGUCUGGGGUGAAUACCCGAGAUUUGUUGUGAGCCAAGAUCGCACCACUGCACUCCAGCCUGGGCGAUAGAUGGAGACUUGGUCUCAAGAAAAAAAAAGAGGUUAAGAGCUGAAGUUUAAUAGGCGAAAGAAAGAAGAGCUCUCGCCGGGUGUGGUGGUGAAAAAAAAAAAAAGAGAAGAGCUCUCUCCUUGCAGAGAGAGGUGCCAGAGAAGUGGGUUGCCACUUCCAUAGUGUAAUGCAGAGGUUUUGUAGAUGAGCUUGGGGAGGUGGUGUCUGAUUUACAGAGGACGCAAAAGAUUAGUUGGACCAGGUGUGCCAUUUACAUAGCGUGUAUAAAAGCUGGUGCCCCACCCUAACCUUUUAUUAUGCAGACAGGUGGCCAUCGCCAUGUUGCCUGGUUCUUUACUGUACACAUGGCGACAAAGAAGGGAAGAUGGGGCCCCCACGUUGAACAUAUCUGGCUCCCAGGUAGCCCUUUUCUGUUGGCACAGCCGCCAGCAUUUACCCCUGCAAGCUUCCAGUUUGCUUAUCUAUGUCUGCAGCUCGAUUUUUCAGGCUGCUCUUUGUUAGAAAAGAAAUUAUUUGGGGGCUGCUUUUUAUUAAAAGGGAAAUUUCGCCAAGGACUCUGUUGCCCUUAUCAUCUGCCUAAAUAAUUUCUUUCAACUUCCUGUAUCAGCAGGAGCAGGGCAGAGUCAUGGAAUCUGCUUUGUCAUGGCCACAGCCUCUCCCUGCUGUUCUGAGGCUAUCAGGCUCUGGGGUUUGGCUUUUGGGUCCAUCGAAUCACACUCUGCUGAGCAUCUCCGGAGCAUCGAGAGCCACUAUGGCUUGAAGCACAGCCUGGAUGGGGCGGAAACAAGUACAUGGGCAGGGACACACACAGCUAGAGGGUGCGGGGUCAGGAACGCCGUGCAGGUAUCACGCCUGAAUGCCAUUUUGAGGGCUUCCUACAAAUAGGUGGGACAGCAAUGGAAAUUGUGUCUGGCUGAAGGCAUAGCUGGGCAUUUUUGAACUGUGUGUCUGUGCUUUGAACUGUUGGUUGCAAGCCUUUUCUCAUUGAUUCCAGGGUUUUUUAUAUAUUCUGGGUACUGGUUUUUUGUUGAUCACAUGUUGUGCAUAUCUUCCUAGUGGAUUGUCUCUUCCCUCUGGCGUAGGGCUCACUAGGGGUUCAACUCGACAGUCACAAGACUAUCAUAGGCCUAAAGCAUAUCAUAUUUAAGUCACAGACAGAUGUCCCAGACUUAAAGAUGAUUCUACACAGGAUUUUUCAACUUUGCAAUGGUUUUAUCAGGAUGUAACUCUGUAAGGAUCGACUUGGUGCGGGGUUAGUUUCUACUGAAUGUAUAUCACUUUUGCAUAAAGUCAGGACCCUCUGCUGUGUUGCCAGCAAUAGAUGCAUUUUCCUUUUGUUUUUUAUGAGAUGGAGUCUCACUCUGUCACCCAGGCUGGAGUGCAGUGAUGCGAUCUGGGCUCACUGCAACCUCUGCCGCCCAGGUUCAAGUGAUUUUCCUGCCUCAGCCUCCCGAGUUGCUGGGAUUACAGGAGCCUGCCACCACACCAGGCUAAUUUUUGUGUGUUUUUUUUUUUUAGUAGAGACGGGGUUUCACCAUCUUGGCCAGGCUGGUCUUGAACUCCCGACCUCGUGAUCCACCCACCCCAGGCUCCCAAAGUGCUGGGAUUAUAGUUGUGAGCCCCCAUGCCGUGCCGCAUUUUCUUUUUUCUUUUUUUUUUAAAGAGACGGGAAUCACUCUGUUGCCCAGGCUGGAGUGCAGUGGCACGAUUAUGGCUCACUGUAGCCUUGACCUCCCAGGCUUAAGAAGUCCUCCCACCUUAGCCACCUGAGGAGCUGGGACUACAGGCAUGUACCACUGUACCCAGCUAAUCUUUUAGAUAGGGUUUCACUAUAUUGCCCAAACUGGUCUGGAACUCCUGAGCUCAUGUAAUCCGCCUGCCUCGGCUUCCCAAAGCACUGGGAUUAUAGGAGUGAGCCAGCACACCCAGCCAGAUUGAUUUUUGAUUUACGAUGGGUUUUUGGGGGGCGGAACCCUGCUGUCAGGAGCAUCUGUACUCAUAUUCCCUCAUGAUGGUGGACUUGUUUAUAUUCAUGAUUCUGUUGAGUUUUGCUUUCUGUGCUUUCAGGCUCUAUCCGGCACCUUAAGGUUUAGAAUUGUCCAGUCUUUUGAGUCAAACCUUUUUUUGUUUUUUGUUUUUGAGACGGAGUCUUGCUCUGUCGCCCAGGCUGGAGUGCAAUGGCGUGAUCUCAGCUCACUGCAACCUCUGCCUCCCGGGUUCAAGCCAUUCUCCUGCCUUAACCUCCCAGGUAGCUGGGGCUACAGGCAUGCACCGCCACAUCCAGUAUUUUUAGUAGAGAUGGAGUUUCACCAUGCUGGCCAGGCUGGUCUCGAACUCCUGACCUCAAGUGAUCUGCCCACCUCGGCCUCUCAAAGUGCUGGGAUUACAGAGUACCAAGGGAAGAACACCUACCUGGAGAAGAUUGACGGCUUCCGAGCCUAUUACAAGCAGUGGCUGACAGUGAUGCCCGCAGAGGAAACCCCGCACCCCUGGCAGAAGUUGCGGACCAAGCCCCAGGGGGACCAGGACACCGGCAAGGAGGCUGAUGACGGAUGUGCCCUUGGGGGCAGGUGAUGGGAGCACAGCUGGAACAAUGUGCUCGGCCCCCAGUGCUCUGUGGGAGCCCCAGGACAAGUGAGCUGGUGUCACCUCCUGCCUGGGGGAAGAGCCAGGCCCUGAGGAACAGCCGCAGCGUGUCACGGGUGUUGGUGAGGACACACACUAGGCCCAAGGUGCCUGUGCUCCCAGCAGGUCCAAGUGCAGCUCCAGCCACCUUUGCGUGUCACCUUCACGGGACUUCCAGCUCCAGCUACCUUUGUGUGUCACCUCGCACACCACAAGGGGGCUGGGGCAUCUGGUCCCUGGGGCCUGGGCCGCCCCGCUGGGUUCCAUAGGCUGAUGCUCUGAAAGAAGAGACGUGGGGCUCGAGAGGUUUAAAGAUUUUAUUUUUACAAAUCACAGCUGAUAGACAGCGAAGCCUUCCCCAUAGAGACCGUGCUCCAACUCGGGCCUGGGGCACUGCUCGCUGCUCCCAGGAAGGGGGUGGCGUGACAGGCAGGAACCUGCGAAGUCCAGAGUCCAGGGUGGAGCGCGCCAGCCUCAGCCAGAGCAGCCACGACAGCCACAGUGUGUGCACUCGAUGAUGCGGCCCUGCAACAGAGGACAGUGAGACGAUGCCACUGCGCCACGCUCGCCCCUGCACACUCACAUACGUGGCAACCCUCCCACGAAGGACCUGCCACCAUGCCAUAUAGGGACACACCUCAGAAACCCUUCCUUGACAGCUCUGGACAGGGAAAAUUUGGCUCCCUCAUGAAGGUAGAACCAGCUGCUGUUGAUUACAUCUGUAUGUCUAUUUAUAAUAUGUUCUGCAAAUCCAACACGUUUGCCAAUCAAGAAAAAGAAA